Paramisgurnus dabryanus is the source of this 502-nucleotide non-coding RNA. The record is from RefSeq and is a predicted model, not a curated record. NCBI's taxonomy places the organism in Eukaryota, Metazoa, Chordata, Actinopteri, Cypriniformes, Cobitidae.
UCUUUUUGACUGAAUACAUGUUUGUUUUAUUUGUCUAUAUCCUAGAUUCACAGCUGGACACAUCCUUCUACACUGUAUGCAAACAUGCAACAUCAUUACACACAGUACAAGGAGUCAGACUGGCAUAUGAGGAGCAAAGGAACCCAGGCAGUAGCAUCGUUUCACAAUGUUUCCAUCACCAUCAUCAGUGGAUGCCUUUGCCGUCCGUAGCCUGAGAUUUCAGAUUUGCAGCAAAAAAAAUUUAUUUUCUCAUUUAUUGGAAUGCUGUGCAGGUUGUACCUUGGAGCCAUCCAUUACAAUGUCACCAAGCCGUAACAAAAGCAGGAGAGGGAAAGUACAAGGCUAUGUUCCCAAAACACACAAGUGACAUACCUUAUGUGGAGGAUGUGAUCAGGCUUGUGUUUGAUGAGGUAUUUGAAGAUAAGCUGAAGGAAACCCCGAUUCCAAUGGACCUGGCAUCACAGUUUGAGAGACCUUCAAAGGAGGACGUGAUUGCAUGCCA